UAAGUGUAUGGGGAUCUGCCCGAUAGAGGGGAAUAACUACUGGAAACGGUGGCUAAUACCGCAUAAUGUCUACGGACCAAAGCAGGGGCUCGUUCGGACCUUGCACUAUCGGAUGAACCCAUAUGGGAUUAGCUAGUAGGUGGGGUAAAGGCUCACCUAGGCGACGAUCUCUAGCUGGUCUGAGAGGAUGAUCAGCCACACUGGGACUGAGACACGGCCCAG
Molecule: ribosomal RNA, 222 nt
Filed under: uncultured bacterium
Lineage: Bacteria
Description: partial 16S ribosomal RNA
Rfam family: Bacterial small subunit ribosomal RNA
Source: RNAcentral